This 1656-nucleotide long non-coding RNA is filed under the name Homo sapiens (human). RNAcentral's name for it is "HSALNT0204282". The record is from RNAcentral. Lineage: Eukaryota; Metazoa; Chordata; Mammalia; Primates; Hominidae.
AGUAUGAAGCUCUGCAAGGUAGAGUGUAGUAUUACGGUGCAGGUGCAUUGCGGAGAUGACGGGCUGAUGGCAAGCAAGCUGCCACAAACAGAGUGAAUGCAGAGCCAUCAAGAGGACAUGGUGAGAAGACAGCCAUCUGCAAGCCAGAAAGAGCGCUAACCAGAACGCAACCAUGUGGAUACCCCGAUCUCAUAGUCCCAGCCUCCAAAACUGUGGGCCUCUCCCAGAUGGCAACUUGUUUAUCAAAGCAUGAAAACCAAGAAGGUGAUAAAGAAAGUCUGCUAGCAAGACAUAAGUCACAAUCUUUUGUAAUCUAUUUAUGAAAGUGACAUCCCAUCAUCUUGACCACAAUCUAUUGAUUAGAAACAAGUACAGCUCACCCUCAACAAGAGGAGAUAAUAUCCAGGUGUGAAUUGCACAAGACUAAUCCAGUGGAAAAACUAUAUUCGACCCAAGGAUCUGUAUCCACACAGUUUGACAAUAAUUUACUUCUUUCUGGAAGCGAUGAGCACAGUGUAAUUCCUGAGAAAUUUUAAUAAUGAUAUUUUAAUUAUAAUUAAGUGAAACCUAGCAAAGUUGGCUGUAUCUGGAGGAACUCCACUGUGGGAAACAGAUUCUUAAGAUGGCUGAAGAUGGCUGUUUCGCUGCAUCAAUGUGUGACUUUCAAUAGAUGAUCGAAGAUGGCUGUUUGGCACUGUGUCUGAAUUAAGCCAGAAGGAAGGAGGAAGAAGAUGAAGAAAAGGCAUGCCUCUACCCCUUAGGACCACGUCUCUGAAGCUGUAUACAACAUUUCUGCUCUCAUAUAAUUGGGCAGAACUUAGUCAUAGAGCUACAUGUAGUUGCAAGGGAAGCUAUAUGCACUAAUGUGCUUAGUUAAACAUUGGGAUUCUCUUACUAAGGUACAUAAGGAGAACAUAUAUUUGGAGAGGCAACUAUCCAUCUCUGCCACAAGAUCUGAAACAAUUAUUGUGAGACUAUAAACAUAGAAAAAAGCUCCAGAGAUCAGGGGGAAGUCAGAAAUUAUUUGGGAUUCCAGUGAAUGGAAUGUUGACCAUAAAUGAGAAAUGAUGCUUGGGAUAAUUCCUAGCGAGCAUUGGCUUUUAGAGUUGGGAUUGAAGUCAACCAGCUAUAAAGAGCAAGACUGGGUGGGGUACUUUGAAAUGUCAUAUCAUUGUGUAUGGCUUUUGUGGUAGUUACUGCUUCUUUUUAGAAUAAUUCUCAUAACUAGGUAGAAAGCUCACCUUUGAAACUUCUGCAUGCCUAAUAAAAUGCUUCACUCACACCCAGUUGUUUUACUCAAGCGAGUAGUUUUAUGGUAACUGCAUUUGGGGUAACAGUCUUACAGAAGAGUUAACACAAUGGGCAGAUUCCAGGUGUGCUGUCAUUUGGAGGAGGCAAAUCCAUACAGACAAGAAGUAGAUUAGUGGUUGCCUAGAGCUGGAGGAGGGUAGGGAUAAGGAAUGGAUUACUACUGGGACUGGGUUUCUUUUUGGGGUGAUGAAAAUUUUCUAAAAUUGAUUGUGGUGAUGGUUGCCUAACUCUGUGAAUAGCAAUGAAUUGUGCUAUUGUACACUUUAGGUAAAUGGUAUGGUAUAUGAGUUAUAUCCCCAAUAAAGCUGUUAAAAAAGAAUGAGAAAGACCGAGUGACUUGCCAAG